AACCUUACCUGGGCUAGAACGCAUUCGGAAUCAGGCCGAAAGGCCUGCGCCAGCGAUGGCCGCUUGCGAGGUGCUGCAUGGUUGUCGUCAGCUCGUGCCGUGAGGUGUCGGGUUAACGUCCCAUAACGAGCGCAACCCCUACUGCUAGUUGCCAGCGGGUCAUGCCGGGGACUCUAGCGGAACUGCCAGCGUAAGCUGCGAGGAAGGUGGGGAUGACGUCAAAUCAGCACGGCCCUUACGUCCAGGGCUACACACGUGUUACAAUGGCCGGUACAGAGGGCAGCCACCCCGCGAGGGGGCGCGAAUCCCGAAAGCCGGUCCCAGUUCGGAUCGGAGUCUGCAACCCGACUCCGUGAAGCUGGAUUCGCUAGUAAUCGCGCAUCAGCCACGGCGCGGUGAAUACGUUCCCGGGCCUU
RNAcentral lists this ribosomal RNA (416 nucleotides) under uncultured Rikenellaceae bacterium. Its description in RNAcentral is "bacterial SSU rRNA". It matches the Rfam family "Bacterial small subunit ribosomal RNA", at positions 967 to 1382 of the family's 1533-position model. Lineage: Bacteria; Pseudomonadati; Bacteroidota; Bacteroidia; Bacteroidales; Rikenellaceae. The record is from RNAcentral.